UAAUCUCACGAAAAUUCAAGCAGAUAACGUGCAAAUAUUAACAAAUUAAGGAACGCAUGAAAAUUAAUUCGAUCUCACAAAUAUUCAGAAUUGCGUCGUCGCGUUGAUCCUUGACUAGAUGAAAAACUUAGCCACGCCGUAUAAGUAAACUCCACGUAAAUUAAUUGAUUCACAAGACAUCAGGCUUUUCACUAGAUAAUCAAGAAGUAAAAGAUGUUUCUUCAGUUAGGAAUAUUGUCGAACACCAGGAAUGCAUGAAAAGAAAAGACGCAACUGUCCUAUCUCUAAGCAAUGACUAAAUCUCCUAUCCCUACGUGGUCCUUGCCGAAAAUCAGAAGAAAAGACAAGGCCCUACUCAAUGUUUUUUUUUUACCAUUUCCUCUUGCUAAUAAGACUCCCUCAUACAAGUCAUGUCUUCAUCAGCAAAGGAAAAUGAAGUCUGUUGCUUCGUACUCUGUGGGCCAGGUUUGUGCAGCUUUUAGAAGUCUUCCACGUGUGGAGCAAUUUUUUCCAGAAGGUCUCCAUUUUUUUAGCACUUUUCAGUUCCACUUCCUGUAGAUUGGUCCAAAUACCAAAUAUAAGUAUAUGUUAACAAUUAGGCAAUAUUUGGCAAGAACAAAGAGGAAAAUUAACAAUAAAGUUACUAACAAUUAACACCCUAACAGAAAGAAAGCAACCAAUAGUUGCAGUCUCUUUAUAGUUUGAACCAGAGGAACUAGGCUGUGCAAGGCAGAGCCUUGGCCCUCCUAAAAAUAUUGAUCAUUGGAAAAGCAUAUAUAACAAAUCUAGUUGCAAAAUAGGUACAUAAUAUCAUAAUUACCAUUCAUAGAUAGCUGUCAAUAAUUUCAGUAGCAGUUACACACCUUUUAGUACAAUUAAGUCCCAAGUAGAGAUACAUAAUGCAUGCUAAUAGUUACAUAAUAUCAUAUAUUAGGAUUCAUUGACUUCUAGUCAUAGAGAGAAUGUUAAUGGAUUCUAAUAUGAUGGCAAAAGAUAGUAUGCUAGAAGUUUAGUAGUAUCCAUGAUGAACAAAAGAGAACAUGAAGCUGUGUGACUACUUCAUUUUGCAGAUUCACGGGGCUUCUUGAGAGGGCUCAUAUGAGCAGAUUUUGAAGAUGCAGGCUUGUUGUCUUCAGGACCAUUUUUUCCAGCAAUUGAGAGAAGGCUUUUACUCUUCAUAACAGAAAGAAAACCAUUAACUACAUCAUGUAUCUCACAAUCAUGUAAAAAUGAAACAGAUAGCAAUUAAUAUGCCUGAAGCUUAAAAUUUUUUAACAUGAGACAUACAACCUGUAAUAUAAUCAACAGCAGAUAAAUCCAAAUCCUUUAGACCAAAAAAAAAAGCAGCACAAAAUUUAGUUUCUUAGACAAACCUGAGAGCUGUAUAUGCCAACUUGUUGGAGCAAAAGAUGCACACCAAAUAGAAUAGCCAGCUUCAGUUGAAGAAACAGGUCAACAUUUUGUAAGCAUAGGCAAAAAAAAAAAGCAAAAUCAGUAUAAGAAAAGGAAGAAUAAAGAUUCACAAUGAAAAAGAAAAUUGAAGAAUUACAAUAGCAGUGCUAUUGUUUAGUUAUGAUCUAGAAGUAUAAAAAUAUGUUUUCAAGUAAAGUAAGUACAUUGUGAGAAGAAAAUCAACCAAAUUAAUCAAUAAUGGUCUUAUAACUCUCAUUAUUGAUCUGUUUACUAUUAUGUUAAGUUUUACUGCUAGUGAAAAUAUAGUCAAAUGAUCUGAGCCUAAAACAUUGUCUGGAUAAGCUGUUUACUAAUAUUGUUAUAUAAUGGUGAAAACCUGAAAAAAAAAAAAAAAAAAACCUUGAUCCUAUAAGGUUAUGAAGACAUGUCUAUCUGUGGUAGAAGUGAUAGUUUGCAGAUUUAGAGACUCUAAGGUCAGGGCAUUUAUGAACCAUUAACAAAUUCUUAAUGACAAUUUUAGUUUUUAUUGUUGAUAGGAAGUUAACGUGGCCAUGGUCUCCUAUAUCCCUGUAUAUGGCUGAAGUUGUAGCUAUUUCCUAAGUUGCUAUAAUACAUGGCUUCUACAUGGAUGUUUAGUUAAUUAAUAAGCAGACUGAUAAAUCUGUUUUUUAAGGAGAGGCCAAAGAAAAAGUGCAAUGGAAAAUAAUUAAGUAUACAGGUUCUUCAUGGAGCAUAAUCUUAAGUGACUGUAGUUUCUGCAGUAGUAUUUUUUAUUCAUGAUAUAUGUAGUUUUUGCACCAUAACCUACCAAAAUUUGAUUUACAAGAAAUUUCUUGAAAGGGAACGAAAAUUUGUCAACAAAUAUUGAAAAAGCAACAUCCUUUUUUUCAGAAAAAAAUAAAAGUAUCAAUUCCAAUAUCUUAAAUAAAGUUAAGAGGUUGGUAUCAAUGGCAAGAAGUGCACUUUAUCUAAACGAAACUGAUAAUCAAGAUAUCUAAGCUUCAAAAUUGGCCGAAAAUGAAAACUCAAAAAGCUAAUUGAACAGCUAACCCAAACACAACUGCAAAAGGAACAAAAAAGAAUACAUGCAAUGCAAAUUAAAUAGGAAAAAGAAAAGAAGAAUAAACCUGAUUAAGUGAAGUAUUAUAUCGAAUUACAGAUCGAAUUACAGGAGCAAAAAAAAUCGUUUGAAGUAUUACAAAUGAAAAGGACCCUUACCAAAGCUAGAGGCAGAAGAAGCUCCCUUCCAAACGCAAGGUCUUCAGAGAAAGAUAUACACCCUGUAUAUGGGCACUUCCCUUUCUUUUCCUUUUUAAAACCUAAAAACCUAAAUUACUACUCACUUAAUGUCUAUCACAUCAAAUCCCUGAAAAUAUGAUUUAGAAUUACGGUGUUCAUGGGAAAAUUGGAUGGCUGCAAAACCAAUUCCAGUACAAAUGAAAGAAAUCAAACGACUGGCCACUUUUGUGGGGAAAAAUCCCUGAAUUUUGGGGAAAAAGAAGACACCUAAUCUUUGAGGGAUUUCAAGCCUUCCAUGCUUCCAAGUACAAUAAGCAUGUGAAGGAGCCAUCUCAGCUACAGGAAGGGAAGAGUACUUGCUAGUACUUUCACCCGAAGAAGAAGAAAAGAAGAGAUGCUGGUUUCUUGUUUGUCUGAAGUGCUUGAAAUGAAAUGGGCCGGUUGUCUGAAGUGUUCGUCUGAAGUGGUUGAAAUGAAAUGGGUCCUAUUGGUUCUAUUACAAUGUAACGGGCAAUGGAAUAUCUUCUUGCUGGUUCCGUUGGUUUC
Molecule: long non-coding RNA, 3198 nt
Filed under: Coffea arabica (coffee)
Lineage: Eukaryota; Viridiplantae; Streptophyta; Magnoliopsida; Gentianales; Rubiaceae
Description: long non-coding RNA (CARA_LNC005010)
Source: RNAcentral